RNAcentral lists this long non-coding RNA (3563 nucleotides) under Setaria viridis. Its description in RNAcentral is "long non-coding RNA (SVIR_LNC007421)". The record is from RNAcentral. Lineage: Eukaryota; Viridiplantae; Streptophyta; Magnoliopsida; Poales; Poaceae.
CACAAAGAACAACGCCACACAGGCACACUAUAUGGGUCGACCAAUAAUACAACCAAAGGUCACCCAAUGCAACGAACGAUCGAAGAACGACGGCACGAUCUGGACAUACAAGCAGUGUAGUUGUAUUUUUCUCCUCCUCUUCUCCUUAGUUGAUGGGCAGCGGCUUGCCGUCCCACUCCUUGAGGCACUCGAGCAUGGGGUCGACGAGCUUGCCCUGGCUGAUCCCGACGAACACCUUGUUGCACUCUUCGCCGGGGGACUUGAGCUUCUCGCCGGUCAGGAACACGCACCCGAGCUCCUCGCGGACGAAGCGGUACAGCGGGAACGACCGGCUGUCCUUGAUCCGGUUCUCCACGGCGGCGGUACCCUCGGCGACGGCGACGCGGGCGGCCUCCACCUCCUGGGGCAGCACCGCGCGCAGCUCCUCCUCGAACUUGGUGAUCUUGGAGAACACGGAGGGCUCGUCGCCGCUGCUGAAGGCGUGGUCUACCAGCACGGCGCGGAGCUUCUGCAUCAGCGGGAGGCUGGCGCUGGCGGCGUCCUCGGCGUAGGUGAACACACCCUCGCGGUCGAUGGCGGUGAGGAGGUCCUUCUCGCUGAACCGCGCGCUGGAGAGCUCGCCGGCCGGGUUCAUGGUCAGCACCUUUUUCGCCACCUGGGUCACCGUGUUCUUGACCGAGGUCUUGAUGUUCUCCUCGAGGUGGCGCAGGUCGAUGGCCUGGCAGAGCGCGACGAUGUAGGUGGAGGACAUGAGCUUGAGGAUGUCGAUGGCCUCGGCGGUCUUCCUGGCCGAGACGAGGCCGAGCGAGUUCACGUCCUGGUUGUGCUGCUCCGCGCUCUGGACGUGGUUGGUGAUGGGGUUGCCGAGGUACUGGAGCUCGGAGCAGUAGGAUGCCAUGGCGAUCUCGGUGCCCUUGAACCCGUAGUCCAGGCUCGGGUUGCGGCUGCCGGCGAGGUUGGAGGUGAGGCCGUUGUUGUAGAACUCGUUGACGAGCUCGGAGAACUGCGCGAACAUGAGCUUGCCGAUGUUGGCGAUGGCGAGGCGGGCGUUGUCCAUGGACACCCCGAUGGGGGUGCCCUGGAAGUUGCCGCCGUGGAGCGCCUUGCCGCGGUGGACGUCGAUGACCGGGUUGUCGUUGACGGAGUUGACCUCGCGCUCGAUGGACUUGGUGGCGGCGCGGAUGACCUCGAUCUGCGGGCCCAGCCACUGCGGCGACGUGCGGAGCGCGUACCGGUCCUGCUUGGGCUUCAGCAGCGGGUCGAGCUCGUUCACCUUCUUGGCGUGCUUCAUGAAGGCGCUGCCCUCGAGGAUGUGCUCCAUGAUGGCGGCGGCCUCGAUGGAGCCCGGGUGGUGCUUGAGCUUGUGGGUGAGGUGGUCGGUGUACUCGGGCUUGCCGUUCAUCACCUCACAGAAGACGGCGGACAGGACCUCGGAGAGGACGGCGAGGAGGUUGGCGUCGUACAGCACGGUGGCCGCGAGCGCGGAGCCGACGGAGGUGCCGUUGACGAUGGCGAGGCCCUCCUUGGGGUUGAGCCUGAAGAACCCGCCCUCGAUUCCGGCGACCUUGAACGCCUCGGCGGCGUCCACCUUCCUGCCGUCGACGGUGACGGCCUGCGCGUUGGGGCGGCCCGUGAUGAGGCCGGCGAUGUAGGAGAGCGGCACGAGGUCGCCCGACGCCGUGAUGGUGCCGCGGAGCGGCAGGCACGGGCUCACGCCGGAGUUGAGCAGCUUGGUGAUGGCCUCGAGGAUCUCGAAGCGGAUGCCGGAGUAGCCCUGGAGGAGGGUGUUGAUGCGCACCAGCAUCGCCGCGCGGGUCACCUCCGACGGCAGCGUGUGGCCGUCGGAGCCGGCGCCGAAGAUACCGGCGUUGAGAUGCCUGCAGGGGGGACACGGGAGCGCUCAUGGUCAGUCGACGGAUCGUCUCAGAUUCUGGCCCGGCCAGCGCGGGCGCGCGCGUGCACAGAUCGCGACAAAAGCCGUUAGGUAACUGCCAAGUUGCAGGAAAACAGAAAGGAGCCCGCUGCCCGCCGGCUGAACUGUGAACACGGCCUGGCAAUUUGGAUUUGGCGACAGUGCCAUCAAGUUUGUCACCGAUGUACCUCGAGUCCUCAAGGCUGGAGUAUAUGGAUAUGGGUGACAGUCUACAAGAUCCACAGGUGAACUCGUCUCACGCGAAAACUUCCAAGAAAAAGUCUGGAUUUAGCAAGAAAAGUUAUCCAGACUGUUCCCCACAACCUACAAAGCUCGGCCAGACUGCCAAACUCCCUGCUGACUUGUCCCACGCCGGCACGCCGCCGCCGGCAGCCGCGCCGGCCUGUCGUAUUACUCCUUGCCAUGCAUUUCUAUAGGCAACAAGCCAUGCCAUCCGGCACAACCGUGCUCGGCGGCGCAGCGCAGGACCGGUAGUUACGCUUUCAGCUGGGUUUUGGGGGUUGGGAAAAAGACGUUGCAUCGACCGAACAAGUGCUCUGUGCUUUGCCCAACGCCGCGGCACCAGAUCUGGAACACUGGGCCUUCGUCACCGUUCUUAGCUACAGUGAGGUGCUCAUCUACUGCUACUACCACUGUAUAGGCAAUUCAGUAUUGAACGCGAGGAUUGAUGCUGGGUGGGUUGCUACCGUUUUUUGCAUGGAUGGUUGAAGGCUUGCAGCGGCAGCACAUGAAUGAAUCUCAGGAAUAAAAAGGCAAUGAAUGUCAGGAAUAAAAAAAAAACAUGAAUGCAUCGCAGCCUUGGCCAAGCCCCCACCCGAGCAGGGAGAAAUGGAGAAUUGACGAUGGUUUUUACCUGAGCAGCUCGACCUGGAGGGCGGGUCCAUCCUUGGUGCGGCGGUGGGAGGUGCCGCCGAACCCGGUGGUGACGCCGUAGAUGUCGCCGCCGUGGGCGAUGCAGUCGAGGAUCCACUCGCUGCUGGCCUUGACGCGGGGGCGUGCCUCCUCGUCGAGCUCGACGGCGACGCCGGACGCGUCCUUGGCCGCGGCCACGGCCGCCACCUGGCCCACACGGAGCGUGGAGCCCUCGAUCUUCACCACGGGCUGCCGGGCCUGCGCCACCAUCCGCUUCACCUCGUCCAGGUGGCUCCCGGCCAGCUCCGCCGCCGCCGCGCCCCAGUUGAGCGGGUCGUUCUCCACGAUCAGGCCGUUGCCCGCCAUUGCUUGCACUGACGGUGGUUAACUAGGGGGCCGCGGCGGCUACACAAGGAGGAGGUGGUGGUGGAGAAGAAGAGCCGGAGGAUAGGCGUGCUCUUCUUGGAGGGAAACGGCGGGGGAGGCCGCCCUUAAAUAGGGGCCCGGGCACGCCGGGGUGUGCGGGUUUAGGUGAGCGUGCGUGAGCCCUCUCUGCUCGCCUUUUGCUAGUGGGAUGGUUGGUGAAUGAUGGGUGGAUCAUCUCAGACUCAUCAGAGUAAAAAAGGUUUCUAAUUUUCUGAUCUCAUUUGUAAUCAUCUCUUUAUCUUGUGCAGUAGUGUUUCAGUGCCUUUCUCUUGGAUUUCUACCUACUACUCCUCUGAUCUCUCCUCUCUUCAGAGGAGUAUUUGAGGGGACUUUUGAGAGGUAGACAGGUAGU